Molecule: ribosomal RNA, 460 nt
Filed under: uncultured bacterium
Lineage: Bacteria
Description: partial 16S ribosomal RNA
Rfam family: Bacterial small subunit ribosomal RNA
Source: RNAcentral
CCUACGGGUGGCAGCAGUGAGGAAUAUUGGUCAAUGGGCGUAAGCCUGAACCAGCCAAGUCGCGUGAGGGAUGAAGGUUCUAUGGAUCGUAAACCUCUUUUAUAAGGGAAUAAAGUGUGGGACUUGUCCUAUUUUGUAUGUACCUUAUGAAUAAGGAUCGGCUAACUCCGUGCCAGCAGCCGCGGUAAUACGGAGGAUCCGAGCGUUAUCCGGAUUUAUUGGGCUUAAAGGGUGCGUAGGCGGCCUUUUAAGUCAGCGGUGAAAGUCUGGGGCUCAACCCUAGAAUUGCCGUUGACACUGGGGGGCUUGAGUACGUUUGAGGCAGGCGGAAUGCGUGGUGUAGCGGUGAAAUGCUUAGAUAUCGCGCAGAACCCCGAUGGCGAAGGCAGCCUGCCGAGCCAGGACUGACGCUGAUGCACGAAAGCGUGGGGAUCAAACAGGAUUAGAUACCCGGGUAGUC